GAAGCAUGUGAUUUAAUUCGAUACAAAGCGAAGAACCUUACCAGGGUUUGACAUGUUGCGAAUUCUCUUGAAAAAGGGGUGCCUUCGGGAACCCAGACAUAGGUGGUGCAUAACUGUCGUCGGUUCGUGCUGUAAAGUUGGGUUAAGUUCCACAAUGAAAGCAACCGUCAUGUUUAGUUGCAUUCAUUGAAUUUUGGCCCGAACAAGCUAUCGGUGAUAAGUCGGAGGAAAGUGAUGAUUUAUCUUAUGAUUUGAAUUAGUAGAUUUUUUAUGAUUC
This 277-nucleotide ribosomal RNA is filed under the name Olea europaea subsp. europaea. RNAcentral describes it as "Bacterial small subunit ribosomal RNA". It matches the Rfam family "Bacterial small subunit ribosomal RNA", at positions 934 to 1210 of the family's 1533-position model. The record is from Rfam by way of RNAcentral. Lineage: Eukaryota; Viridiplantae; Streptophyta; Magnoliopsida; Lamiales; Oleaceae.